This is a long non-coding RNA of Capsicum annuum, 425 nucleotides long. RefSeq lists it as uncharacterized. NCBI's taxonomy places the organism in Eukaryota, Viridiplantae, Streptophyta, Magnoliopsida, Solanales, Solanaceae. The transcript has 4 exons. The record is from RefSeq and is a predicted model, not a curated record.
CUUUGAGCUGAGCAGCACUACACAAUCCUCAUUUCAGUAAGGGUUUUUAUUACAUAUUCCAACAGGAAGCGUACUAUACGUUUCAGUAUAAUUGACCAUCCUAAUCGACUACUUCUCUCCAAGAAAGGCUCUUGUGCUUUUGGUCUUUCAUUGAUUUCCAUCGGUCUUCGGACAUUGGAAUGAGCAUCCUAAGAUGCUGAUACCACCACUGUUCAUUCACCGAUUUGUUCAGUAAAUUUCCAAAUUUUCAAAGCAGUUAUCAGUUUGUACCAGUUUGUGUCGUGUUGUUUACUGCUCUUAUAUGUGAUCGAUUAUCUUUACUUUGGAACUCCUUGUAAAUAGUUUCUGGAGCAUAGAGAACACAUAUUCACAGCUGCAGUUAUCUCUACCAGCCAGCCACUCAGAUUGCUCUAUUUUCGGUUAGC